This 352-nucleotide long non-coding RNA is filed under the name Androctonus crassicauda. Lineage: Eukaryota; Metazoa; Arthropoda; Arachnida; Scorpiones; Buthidae. The record is from RNAcentral.
UUCCGCAUUCAAUCUGUCACAUGCAGAAUGCACCAGAAUCCCAUCUGAGUACACACAAUAAGCACUUCCGAUAUAAAUGCCAUCCUUGGAGCUGUCCAUAAAUACUUCGAUUCCGGACUGGGUUGGAAAACCAGGCUCCCAUGCCAAACCAAUAUGGAGGGAUGGAUGCACUCGCCAUAUGUCCUCUUCUUUAUCUUCCAGUGUAAUGGCUGGAAACCUUCUCAAACAGUGCGAGGUGUCCUCUUUAACCAUCGACAUGCGGAAGAAGGCAGUCUCCUGACCCACUACCAGCGGCAGUGGCACCAGACCGGCCAAAACUAGCGCAGCCUGGGUAGCCAGGGUUCUAUUUGCC